GCAAUUUUUAAUCUGUGGUUAUGCAUCAAUUUCUCUGCUUCUUCUUUAUAAAUCUUGCAGGUCAGGACAACACACUUAUCGGGGCAAUGUUGGGAUGUUUAGGCUUGGGUGGAGACAUGGACUUUUGGAAGAGGUGAAUUAGCUUAGCUCUCUGUCAUUAGCUUUAUCUGUUCUAUGCAUCUCUACAAUCUUACAAUGCUCCUUUAUUAAAUUGCAAGAUGUUGGGACCCGUUACUGGAAUACAAGAUUUGGAACCAAAGUGGUUGACAAUGCUAGAGUCGAAAGCAAGUGUGAAAUUCACAUUGAAAAUGACAGGAGAGGGUUGCGCAUGAUCUGUAGUUUCAAUCAACCUCGCUGUUUUCGUUAGAAUCACAAUUAAAGGUCAGUUUUUCCGACAUUUUUUUUUCUUUUUGCUGCAUGUUUAUGUAUGGUUGGUCUAUGAGAAUACUGGUUAGUUGUCAUCAAGCAGCCCUUGUAGAUGUGUAUUUUGUUUAUAUAUUGCUAGUUUAACCAUUAGUACGUUUGACUUGGGGAUACAAGCUUGGAUAUGUUAUAUUUUGUUGUAUAUAGAGAAUCCCGGGUAUGUCCAGCAUAGGAUAACAUGUAUUUUUUGGUUUAACAUUUGGAUGGGUUGUAUUGUUAGGUUGCAUGAAUCGGUCUUAGCCGAGAACAUGGGUUAUGUAAUAUAUUAACUUCACUAUUUUAGUGCUAAUGUUGAUUUAUGUUUAGUUUGUAA
Pyrus x bretschneideri (Chinese white pear) is the source of this 736-nucleotide long non-coding RNA. RefSeq lists it as uncharacterized. The transcript has 2 exons. Lineage: Eukaryota; Viridiplantae; Streptophyta; Magnoliopsida; Rosales; Rosaceae. The record is from RefSeq and is a predicted model, not a curated record.